UGAAAUCCUGUCACUGCGAGGCGGGCUGGGCCUGAAGACGUCAGGUGAAGUAAGACUCACGCUAGAAUCUGCAGAACUUGGUCUUGGCACUGGAGAGCAGGACAGUGGCGAGCAGAGGCUGAGAGGCGAGUCUUAGUAGCCCAGACGCCGCAGUGAAGGCCAUAGGAAAGUGUGGAUGGACACGCACUCCAUGGAAACCUGGCCUUGAAACGCACCGCGCUUCUCAGGCAGCGUCCACCUCACGCUGACUUCGCGCUUCACCUUGAGGCCUGCGUCUGUUUCUGUUGUAAGGAGGCAUUGCCAUGGAGCCACCGUCAGGGAACGCUGAGAAGAGCCGUUCAACCGAGUCACGACGUCAUUCCCGGAGCCCAGAGCCCGAGUGAGGGAAGCAUGUGGAGCCAGGUCGGGUGGACGGCAUUGGCCGCCAGCAGGAACCAAGCAGGAGAGCCCGGCAGCUGCGGAUCGGCAGUAGUGGGAGCCGUGUCCAUUGCUCUCCGACACGACACGGGCGGCAAGGAAGGAGGAGGAAGAGGGAACUCAGCGAGCGGUCUCGGG
Molecule: long non-coding RNA, 555 nt
Filed under: Heterocephalus glaber (naked mole-rat)
Lineage: Eukaryota; Metazoa; Chordata; Mammalia; Rodentia; Bathyergidae
Description: lncRNA (ENSHGLG00000035261.1)
Source: RNAcentral